UCUAGAAAGGUACGGACUUGAGGAACAUUUGUUCUGAAUUAAACUUGGCUGCAGUCGGUGUUAUCCUGUGGCUGGAGCUCGGAUUACAGGGGCUGCCCUGGGCCUAUGAAUGGCCGAGUGCGGCUGCUCAGACAGGUGGAAAAUUCUGGGGCCCUGUGCACUGUUUCAGGAAAAAUGCUCCAACUGGCGUGGAGAGGGGCCAGCUGGUGAUGUCAAGGGAUUUAUAACAGAGAUUUCAAGCCCUUUUAAGGAAACGAGGCAGUUGCUAAUGAAACCGGCUAAAGCUGGGUCUGGAGGUGGCGACACUUAAUUUGCUAGUUACCUUGAAAUGCUUGUACUUCUUAAAAAAAACAACGCUGUGCCACUCCCUUUGUGUGUGGUUCAAAAGGCAACAGGAGGGUGUGUUGAGAAGAACCUGUUAUGCUAAUCAGUCUGGGAUUUUGUGACUUCUUCCGUGUGUGCCUCUGAACAGUAUGGAGCGAGCUGGCACACCCUUCGUUCUUCGGUGGUUACACUCAUGGCAGGAUUCCUAGGACUUGUUGCUCUAACCUACAGACGUUACGUCCCUCUCAGCCUCGGUUUCCUCAUCUGUGAAAUGGCCACACUGACGGUACCUACCUCAUACGGUCAGUGACACAACACACAGGAAGUACUCGGCGUAGUGAAGCAGAUUUGAAAAUGCUGUGGGUGGAACUCAAUUAUCAAUUAUAUUUAAAGGUGCAAAAACAAGAUUGGAAUCACUGCUGUAGAAAAGGAAAUUACUUUCGAUGCCCAUUGUGUCUGGAAGAAGAAGGGAGUUCCUGUCCCCACAUGGCUGUGACGUUACAGGAGGGGAAGCCAAGCGGACAACAGGCCGCUCCUUUGGGGAACGUCAUCUAACAGAGGUGGAAUGAAUAUAGCUAAGCGACAACAUGCACCUAAAUAAAACAUGGACCCAGAAUUUGAUAUUUGCAACAAGAAGCCUGUCCUGGUGUUCCAGGCCAUGAAGGAAACACUUCUGGACAGAAUUGGAUUCAAAUUCUGGGCCUUUUCCUUUCUAACUGUGUGACCUUGGGCACGUUAUGUAAUGCUGCUGGGCUCAGUUCUUCAAAAAAUGGGGGGCCGGCCAAGUGGCGCGAUGGUUAAGAACUGGCUUGGGACGCCAGAGGGCCCCGGUUCGGAUCCCAC
This is a long non-coding RNA of Hipposideros armiger (great roundleaf bat), 1167 nucleotides long. RefSeq lists it as uncharacterized. The transcript is spliced from 3 exons. NCBI's taxonomy places the organism in Eukaryota, Metazoa, Chordata, Mammalia, Chiroptera, Hipposideridae. The record is from RefSeq and is a predicted model, not a curated record.